AGAGCUGAUCAAGGGAACCUCAACAAACAACCCCAGCCAUGGAGGCGGCGGUGUCUUUGAAGACCCCAUGAGAGCAUCAAACAAGGGAGAGAGCCUGGAACAAAUCAUGGUAGUAAAAUGGCGGCAGAGAGCUAGUAAUGUGUCUGCAAUUGGUGGGUUCUUGGUCGCACUGACUUCAAGAAUGAAGCCGCGGACCCUCACGGUAUUUCUCCCAGAAAGUUCCCUGAAGCACUUCUAAUCCUUUACUUUGCAAAGAUUCUGCCU
This 264-nucleotide long non-coding RNA is filed under the name Homo sapiens (human). Its description in RNAcentral is "HSALNT0307288". The record is from RNAcentral. Lineage: Eukaryota; Metazoa; Chordata; Mammalia; Primates; Hominidae.